Oncorhynchus gorbuscha (pink salmon) is the source of this 451-nucleotide long non-coding RNA. RefSeq lists it as uncharacterized. The record is from RefSeq and is a predicted model, not a curated record. NCBI's taxonomy places the organism in Eukaryota, Metazoa, Chordata, Actinopteri, Salmoniformes, Salmonidae. The transcript has 3 exons.
UACCGCUUUAGUUUAGCUUGCGACAUUUGAAUGUUUAUAUGUAUUGGUAGCAGAGUAUAAAUAAAAAUGAGCGACGAAGCUGUAUUUGAAACAAUUGAAGAGGUCAAUAAGCAUAUCUCACACGUGGAAGAGUCAACCUGUGUGAAAUAUAUUUCUUACCGUGUGACCAAUGACCAAGAUAUUUCAGGAAACAGAUGGCAAGGAAAAAAUAAACCUGUUGCUGAAAACCAAGAAAGUAGCAUGCCCUGCUGUGUUCACAAUCAGCCGCAUUGUGAAGUUCCCUGGAUUCAAGUUGGAGAAGGACACAUCACGGUUGAGGAGGGUCAUGUCUAUUUCCAUCAAACAAGCUCUCCAGACAGACCCAGCCUCAGUGCAGUGGAAGAUACAGUAUUUCCUCAAAAUACCCAGUGUCACUGACCACAAGGGCCAUCCUAUUGGAAAGGUAUUACUA